UACGUAGGGUGCAAGCGUUGUCCGGAAUUAUUGGGCGUAAAGAGCUCGUAGGCGGUCUGUCGCGUCGGCUGUGAAAACCCGGGGCUCAACCCCGGGCCUGCAGUCGAUACGGGCAGACUAGAGUGCGGUAGGGGAGACUGGAAUUCCUGGUGCAGCGGUGAAAUGCGCAGAUAUCAGGAGGAACACCGGUGGCGAAGGCGGGUCUCUGGGCCGAUACUGACGCUGAGGAGCGAAAGCGUGGGGAGCGAACAGG
RNAcentral lists this ribosomal RNA (253 nucleotides) under uncultured bacterium. RNAcentral describes it as "partial 16S ribosomal RNA". It matches the Rfam family "Bacterial small subunit ribosomal RNA", at positions 524 to 776 of the family's 1533-position model. The record is from RNAcentral.